This is a long non-coding RNA of Aethina tumida (small hive beetle), 518 nucleotides long. RefSeq lists it as uncharacterized. NCBI's taxonomy places the organism in Eukaryota, Metazoa, Arthropoda, Insecta, Coleoptera, Nitidulidae. The record is from RefSeq and is a predicted model, not a curated record. The transcript is spliced from 5 exons.
CCAGGAUACAAUUCUGGCACUGCGACGACGUCGAAAGUCCUCCAACCGUAAGUGCUGAGGACGAAGAAACACAAGAAGAAUAUAAACAUAACCUCAAAGGUUGUUAGUGGAAAUAUAUGGUAAAAAAUGUGAGUCAGAGAAGUAAAAGAGACUAACAGUUUAAAUAAUGUUUUGGUGAGAAGGCAGACACAGUCCAAUGCUCCAUAGUAAAUUGCCUUCCAAACAAAUAAUAAGUAUAUUCACAUCAGCUAAAGAUUCAAAUAAUCCUACUCCAAGCUUACAGUUAUAGAAACUGAACAGAGAAUAAACCAAAUUAAGAAAUUAUUUACUGUGAACCUCCAAUUGAAGCCAAAUUUAUUAUUUUAUAUUUUUAGGGGACAAUGACUGAAGAAGCAUUGACAAAACAAUGAUUAGAUAUUUCAUGCUGCCCACCAGUAACCAGGCUAUUAAAGGAAAAACCAGCCGUACUCCACUGCGGUAAAAGCCAAUUUACGUGCUUUUAAGCCCUUUCUAGACUG